RNAcentral lists this ribosomal RNA (482 nucleotides) under uncultured bacterium. Its description in RNAcentral is "bacterial SSU rRNA". It matches the Rfam family "Bacterial small subunit ribosomal RNA", at positions 29 to 506 of the family's 1533-position model. The record is from RNAcentral.
UUGAACGCUGGCGGAAUGCUUUACACAUGCAAGUCGAGCGGCAGCGCGGGGGCAACCCUGGCGGCGAGCGGCGAACGGGUGAGUAAUGUAUCGGAACGUACCCUGUCGUGGGGGAUAACACAGCGAAAGCUGUGCUAAUACCGCAUACGACCUGAGGGUGAAAGCGGGGGAUCGCAAGACCUCGCGCGAUAGGAGCGGCCGAUAUCGGAUUAGCUUGUUGGUGAGGUAAAGGCUCACCAAGGCGACGAUCCGUAGCGGGUCUGAGAGGAUGAUCAGCCACACUGGAACUGAGACACGGUCCAGACUCCUACGGGAGGCAGCAGUGGGGAAUUUUGGACAAUGGGGGAAACCCUGAUCCAGCCAUUCCGCGUGAGUGAAGAAGGCCUUCGGGUUGUAAGGCUCUUUCAGGAGGGAAGAAACGGUUGCGGCUAAUACCCGCGACUAAUGACGGUACCUUCAGAAGAAGCACCGGCUAACUACGU